Long non-coding RNA from Lemur catta (Ring-tailed lemur), 794 nucleotides. RefSeq lists it as uncharacterized. The transcript is spliced from 2 exons. The record is from RefSeq and is a predicted model, not a curated record. Lineage: Eukaryota; Metazoa; Chordata; Mammalia; Primates; Lemuridae.
GUCAAUCAUGAGAAUUCUAUCCCUUCAGCUAGUGGUUGGUUUAGGAAAGGGCAUUUCUGGUCCCUUUGGAGGAAGUCAGCUGGGGAGCCUCUGAAAAAGGUUUCCUUCUCCUACACGAGAGACACAGACAUUGAUGUUCUCUCUCCUUCCUUGGAAAAUUGCUGCAUCUUAAUGUGCCUUUGAAACCACUGCAAACGUAUUGCACCAGCCGGAGGAGGAAGCCAACCAUGAAAGAAGACAGAGCUAGCAGAAUCACUCAGGAGUAAAAUGAGGCCUGAAGUACCGUGCCUGGACCAUACCCUACUUGAAGCCUUCUUGUUCUGGGAGUUCAUCUGAUUUACAAGAAGUCACUGGCACGGCUGGAAUCUCUGGACCUUGACCUCCAUUGCAGACUGCUUAGUGCAUGGUAGAACGGCAAACUGGGAAACAAUCUGAGCAGACAGAAUGAAAGACACUGGAGAAGGUGAACCAUGCUCAGAUGUCAAUUCCAUUCCCAAGCCAUGGCUCCUGGUUUGGUGAGCUGAGCUUCUGCUAGACUUUAGCCUCCCUCUUGUCCCUCCGCACCAGUGCACCUGCAGCCCCGGAUCACUCCUCCUACCCUGGGGAGGAAUGAAUAAGGAGACUGAGAGCGGGUGCAAGCGUUCUCCUCAAGCUUGCUCGUCCUGAGAAAGAAAAUAGGGAAUAAGUGUUCUCUACUUACAGUUGUUCUAGCCCCUGGAUCCAGCAACAUAUGAAGCCAGCUGCACUCCUGAAUUUCCCAGUGGUGAUCAAAUACAUUUUCUGCCUUUGUUUAA